RNAcentral lists this ribosomal RNA (2936 nucleotides) under marine metagenome. RNAcentral's name for it is "bacterial LSU rRNA". It matches the Rfam family "Bacterial large subunit ribosomal RNA". The record is from RNAcentral.
UUAUAAUGAACAAUGAGUAAUGAAUAAUGAAUAAUAAAAAAAGAAAAUUUUUGCUUUGCAAAAAUUAUAUUAAUCAUUAAUCAUUCGUCAUUAAUCAUUAAAGUGACGAGCGUAGCGAGGAGCGAUCGGGGUUGUAGGACUCCAAUAUCUGUAUUGUCUGAUUAGAAGAAGACUCUGGAAAGGGUCGCCACAGAGCGUGACAGCCGCGUAUUCGAAAAUCAUUCAAUAUGGUAGGAGCAUCCUGAGUAGGAUCGGACACGAGAAAUCCGGUUUGAAGCAGGGAGGACCACCUUCCAAGGCUAAAAAGAAUACCAGAUCGAUAGUGAACAAGUACCGUGAGGGAAAGGUGAAAAGAACCCCGAGAAGGGGAGUGAAAUAGACGUGAAAUUGUAUACUUUCAAGGAGUGGGAGGGUGUUUCUCACUGCGUUCGAAAUUAAGUUAUUAGUUAGUAGUCGUUAGUUAAUAGUUCGGAAGGAAUUUUUAAAAAGAUUUUUUUUUACUAUAAACUGUAAACUAUAAACUGUAGACUUCCGCAUCGAGCACAGCGAGAAGCGCCUAACCGCGUGCCUUUUGUAGAAUGAGCCAACGAGUUAGUCAUGUAUGGCAGGUUAAGGGAGAUUCACCCGGAGCCACAGCGAAAGCGAGUCCGAUAAGGGCGUUUGUCAUAUGUGCUAGACCCGAAACCGUGUGAGCGAGCCAUGGGCAGGUUGAACCCAAUGUAAAAAUUGGGGAAGGACCGAACCACCGAGUGCAGCAAAACUCUUGGAUGACCUGUGGCUAGAGUUGAAAUUACCAUCGAACACGGAGAUAGCUGGUUCUCUUCGAAAUAUUUUUAGGAAUAGCCUCCAGUUACUAGCAGAAGGGGUAGAGCUCUGUUUGGGGAAGGGCGGUAAACAACCGUACCAACUCCUAGCAAACUUCGAAUACUUCUGUGAUUGUCUGGGGAGUCAGUCUGCGACAGCGAAGUGCCGUAGACGCGAGGGAAAGAGCCCAGACCACCGUCUAAGGUCCCUAAUAUUACCUGAGUGGCAAAGGAUGUAAGAUUGUUUAAACAGCCAGGAAGUUGGCUUAGAAGCAGCCACCUUUUAAAAAGUGCGUAAUAGCUUACUGGUCGAACGAUUUUGCGCCGAAAAUUCAACGGGGCAAAGGUAAUAACCGAAGAUGUGGGUGGAUCCGUUCCUCACUGUGUUUGGAAUGUAGUUAAUAGUUAUUAGUUAAUAGUUAUUAGUUAAUUGGAAUUUUUUUAAUAAAAAGUUUCUUCUUUUCUAAAAACUAAAAGCUAAAAACUAAGAACUGCUUCGAGCAUAGCGAGGAGCGGGUUCGCGAUAGAAGAGCGUUGUGGGAGCAGUGAAGCUCUGCUGUGAGGCAGUGUGGAGCGACCACAAGUGAGAAUGUUGGCAUGAGUAACUUUAAUGCGGUGAAAACCCGCAUCGUCGAACACCCCAGGUUUCCGAUCCACUGGCAGUCAAGGUCGGGUUAGUCGGUCCUAAGGCGAGGCCGAAAGGCGUAGUCGAUGGACAACAGGUUAAUAUUCCUGUACCAGAAUAAAAUGUGAUGGCGUGACGCAUUGGGAAAAUUUGUUUCCGGUUAAUGAAUUCCGGGGCAAGCGAUAAGCUUAUGGCAGAUCAGGUAAAUCCGUUCUGUUUCGCAAGUCGUUAUGCAUACUUGCUUUGUAGCGAUACAGAGCCAAAACAAUGAUUCCGGUGCCAAGAAAAGCGUCUAAACUUAAUUUUAUUCUGUCCGUACCGCAAACCAACACUGGUGGGUGGGUAGAGAAUACUCAGACGAACGAGAUAACUAAGCUUAAGGAACUCGGCAAUACAGCGUCCGUAACUUCGGGAUAAGGACUCCCUCCUACGCUUUUUGUUUCACAAAAAGCUUCGUAGGGCAAGCCCUCUCUAAUAAGACAAUAUGAGAGUUGGGGCCUGUCCUCCGUAGCUCUGAGUGGAAUGAAGAGCGUAGGAGGGCGCAGCGAAAGAUGCCAAGCAACUGUUUAUCAAAAACACAGGUCCGUGCUAACUCGUAAGAGGAUGUAUACGGGCUGACCCCUGCCCAGUGCCAGAAGGUUAAGUGGAGGCGUUCACGCGUCGAAAUGAAGCCCUGGUGAACGGCGGCCGUAACUAUAACGGUCCUAAGGUAGCGAAAUUCCUUGUCGGGUAAGUUCCGACCCGCACGAAUGGGGUAAUGAUUUGGCAACUGUCUCAAGCUUAGACUCGGUGAAAUUGCAGAAACGGUAAAAAUGCCGUUUACGCACGGUAGGACGAAAAGACCCUGUGCAGCUUUACUCCAGCUUGUCACUGAAUUUUUGUAUGUCAUAUUCAGAAUAGGUGGGAGACUCGGAAGUCUUGACGCUAGUUAAGAUGGAGUCACCUUUGAGAUACCACCUUUGAGAUGUCAGAAAUUCUUACUUGAACCGUAAUCCGGUUCGGGGACAGUGAUUGGUGGGGAGUUUGACUGGGGCGGUCGCCUCCUAAAGAGUAACGGAGGCGCGCAAUGGUUGGCUUAGAUCGGAUGGAAAUCGAUCUGGACGUGUAUUCGCAAAAGCCAGCCUGACUGUGAGACUUACAAGUCGAGCAGGGACGAAAGUCGGUGAAAAUGAUCCGGUAUCACCACGUGGGUGGGGUAUCGCUCAACGGAUAAAAGUUACGCCAGGGAUAACAGGCUAGUCGCUUCCAAGAGUUCACAUCGACGAAGCGGUUCGGCACCUCAAUCGGGGUGCGUAGUAUAGUGAUAUGCUACUAGCAAAUUGGCUUAUAACGGUGAAAUCCAUAAACCUUUCAUUGUAAAUUUUCCCAAAAAAUUUAUGAUGAAUAAAGAUAGUUAGCCCUAUUUAAUUUAUGGACAAUGCCGUGGGAAGUUUAACUGCUAAACAAAAAUCUCUUAUAAUCGGAUCGAUUUUAGGAGACGGAUAUUUAAGAAUUAUGGACGGAAGAGC